UACACACCGCCCGUCACACCGUGGAAGCCGGCUGUACCGGAAGUCGGUGCACUAACCCGCAAGGGAGGUAGCCGCCUAUGGUAUGACUGGUGACUGGGGUG
RNAcentral lists this ribosomal RNA (101 nucleotides) under uncultured bacterium. Its description in RNAcentral is "partial 16S ribosomal RNA". It matches the Rfam family "Bacterial small subunit ribosomal RNA", at positions 1384 to 1482 of the family's 1533-position model. The record is from RNAcentral.